UUGCUUGCCAUAUGUACUGCACAUUGCAUGCGUUCUCAGAACGUCAGUUAGUAUCUGCGAUGAUUUUGCUUUUCGAUGAGUGGUUUUAAGCUUCAUAUCGCAAGAUGAUACGUUUGACACAUUUUCACAAUGACACUUUAUCCGCGGCGGAGAUAUCAGGAAGUUUGCGACCUGGAAGUAAAACACAGACCGGAAAAGGAAACGAGUAACAGUUUUGUUUGGCGUGUUGUGUAAACAGUUUUGUUUGGCGUUUUGUUGAUUUGUACACGUUCAUUUUCCGUGCUUUUACACAUGAUCUGAAACUGUGAUUAUUCCUUUUUGAUGGAUUACGAGGGCGGAUGUCCAAAAACAAGGAGUUACUACCACGUCGUCGGCUGCCGUCCGUCAACCUGGACAACAAAAGGACCGGAGAGGUUUCGGAUGAGCACGCGGCCGCCAGAAGCGGCGUCGGGUCCGCUUCAGGAAAAAUGCGAACGCACUCACCUGACAAGCACACAAGGAAAAAUACAAUUCUUUCUCGUCGGCAAAUGCAAAUGAAGUCUUCAGCCGAUAUGAAACUCACCUGUGAGGAAGACGAGAGGACACGUUUGCCUGCGGAAGAAAAUUUGAAGUCAUGAGGAUUGUGGGCUCAACAACUUUUCAUGAGGUGAACACACGUUUCCUUCUCCAAUAGGCUCUUUGAUAGCAGUCGAUGCCUGGAUCAGAUCAUUGAGUCGUGUGGAACUAAAAACAAAGACCACGGUUGAAUCAAGGCAACCUUUCUGGAAGCGGUAAUUGAACUGGAUGCGGACGUCCGCCUGAAAAGAGAACAUUCAGUGAGGAGGAUUUGACGGUCCGCUCCAUGACAGCAAGACGCCCUGCACACAGAAGAAGCAGCGUGCUCAAACCUAGUGGACGAGGCCUCCCACGUUGAUCUUGAUGAAAUCUAACAAGUCCGCUCUCGUGACUGCACACAAGGGGAAGAUUAUUAUUAUUUUUUUCUAGAAAUGGCCAUUGCAAAUCAUUCCAGGCGUCCUUACCUUGGACAUUGUAGCUCCUCGACAUAUGCUGAAACAAAUUAAAAGACAAAAUGAGAUUUGCACGUGUUAGUGUUUGCUUGGCUCACCUGUGAUAAGAGGCGGACAUUUUGACAGUGGCCUGCAACAGAAAAGGUAAAACAAUUGGUAAGCUAAUUCGAUCGAUUAAGGUCAAUUUUCCCAUUCGCUUUAAGACGUGAACCUGCGGAAAAAAAUAAGACAAUCCUGAGUUUCCCUCCGUAGUUUACCUCUUGUUAAACGGCGCUCUUUUCCACAGUAGUCAAAAUGUUGGCGUCAUUUCACGCACAGAUUCGAUGCAUUUCAGUUUACCUCAUUUAGUUAAACGCUUGCAUUUGUUUGUGGUCGUCGAAUGAAUGUCUUUUUAGCACGCGCUCCCUCGACGUCGACGGCCGCCGUCCUGCAAAGAAACAUUUUUAAGAAAACGCAGGCAAGCUUUUAGCACGCUCUAAACAUGAAUUAGUGUGAAAUAAAAGUGAAAAAAGUUGCAGUCAGGAGGUUAAAGAAUUAUUUUGAUGACUUUGUGGUAAAGUGCGGAGCGCAGCAAUCAGGUGGCGACGGGAGCUGGCAGCAGCUUUGAAAAGAACGAUUGCUCAAUUUCUUGCUGUUUAAAUAAGUUUCCGGUAAUUACGUCAUCGUUUAUGAGGGGGAAAAAAGGUAAAAGGUGAAUUCAGCAAUGACGACAUCGAGUGGAAAAGAGGUGAGGAAAUUAAAGAGAUCAUGUAAGUUUCGAACUUAGCUCUUCCGCUUCAGAGGUAUUGUCACGAACCGCUGAUCUACUGGUCUAGAUGACGUCAGCAGCCCCUUUUUAAGUAUUAGUACCACUCAUUAGUUAAGCCACAUCACCAGGGGACUUAGAAAAGAAUGAAUAUGACUUCAGAUAUAAGAUUGGCAACUAAGUGAUGGCCUAAUGGUUAAAUUUUUCGUUUUAAUCGUCUAUGUAUCCGGGUACGAAUCCUAACAGCUCUGACUGGCGACUAUUUUCUGUACCUACACUUAUCUUGACCGAUGCAAGACUAUAUAGGAAUCGAACACGGGUCGCCUCAGUGGUAGUCAAUGUUUUUAACCAUUAGGCCAUCAGAGAUGGAGCCUCGUGACAAAAUUAUUUCAGAUUCAUGGAAUAAACUACCCCUAUGGCACAUACACUAGAUCCGAUGUUACAAUUCAUGAAUUGACGAUAGAUCACCUUUUGCCUCAACUCCUUCGGCCAUGUUACACUCAACCAGUGCAUACAACCGAGUCUCUCGCUCCUCCCUUAACUCAUGAAACUCCACUUUAGUGAAGGACCUCAUCCCUGACAUGGAUAGGGCAUGACACCCUAUUCCCAUUGAGGACGAUACGCUCAUAUUGGAGGUGUUCAUUCUCAGCCCAAGCGCUUCAUAACUGUAUACAUAUGGAGUGUCUCAAUAAAUUGUCUCUUCCCCAUUAGUAUGUGUGUUGUGUUUGUGAUGUGGACUCUUCACUUGUUGGCAGUAUAUGUAGCGCUCAAUCCUUAAACAGACACGCCAUUGUAAUUUAUCCUCAUGUGUCUGUGGUGAACUCAGACGCACGUCCAAGGUAUAAAUAUUUUUCUUCCCCUUUUGGGCGGAUGCGAUUUAUUUCUCCUGACAACACGGUGUCGGGCGCCAAAAGUCCGAAAACCAGAAAAGCCGCGUGUGCUUGUUGUGAACCCCAUUGUCGACGGUCUGGAAUAAUAGGUGUCGAGCUGAGCUGAUGUCGCAAUGAUGCGGUUUGUUUGGAUUGCGAACGCCAUCGUCUCAGUGGUCGAUGAGGAAAAGUUACGGAUUAGCCGCGGGAAGUCCAUGUUUUCCAUGUCUCCCUCCUCUAACAAACGUGAAUCAACUAAUCAGGAUCGUUAUCAGGCUGCUGCAGAGCUUGCUGAUGAGCCGAUCAUUUGAUUCAGGCGUGUCAAAGGAGGGAGACAUGGAAAACAAGCUGGAUUUCACUACCAUUGAUGACGGCAGAUCGACGUACGGGCUCACCGUCGAUGGCAAUGAAACAUCAAAAGUGGGAUUUCCAUCAAAAAGCGUUGCCUCAAAGACCGAACAUUUGGCAAUCCCUCAACAGCAGAAACGAACAACCUGAAGGCAUUGGACGUCUAUCGCCCUCAAACGUCACGAUUUGGAGUUCUGUCAAGAAGAACAGCCUCAAAGAUCAAACAUUUUGCAAUGCCUCCAAAGCAAAAGAACAAUGUUAAGGCAUUGGAAGUCUAUGGCAGAGAACAUGUGAAAAUAAUGGAAAUGUUUUGUGUCAGGUUGUGAAAGAAUGAAAUUGUUUUGUGUCAGGUGUUAUUAGGAUAAAGACCAGACGCUGAUGAAAUCUCAUCACGCAGCGUGGCAAUGUCUCAUGAAAGCCAGGCAUUGCCUUUGUAAUGUCAUGUUGGCCAUGUGAUUUCAACAACCAAGGUUUUUCCAAACAAACCUGUGCAUUGAACCUUCUCAUUUGUUCUCUCUCCAUAACCCUCCGUUCCCCAAAACUGGAGUCAGCUGUCGUCAAACCGGUGCUCUAAUUGCAUACCGACAGUUGACUGCAUGGGACUUUCAGCAACUUGUGUUAUCCAAAGAGGCAUUCUUUCCUCUGUUUCUCGACCUUGAAAAUCCAUACAACGGUCAGAAUGUGCAAAAAACAUAAACACACAGUAUGUUCUCAAACCUUCAGAUAGUCGGCCAUCUUGGAUGUAUCCCACAAUGCACUGUAGGUAUAAAUAGACCAAUCUGAGUCUGGAACUUUCAGAUUUAAAUGACUUAUAUAUGAGCCCAAUUUAGUGGCUCUAUUAAUCAAUCUGCUGAGAAUAUACAUCGAUGGGGGACAGUCAAUCCAUUUGAAGUGGGAGUGUGGCAGCAAAUAAACCCUCCCACUUUAAAUUGUUGUUAAAACGUCUAUGUCUGCCGAUGGCAGAUCUAGCCAGAUAUAACAUUUUAGUCGCAUAAAUGAUGUGUUAAGAUAAAAUCAAUACAGAUUGACUCAACAUUUAUUGAAAGAUUUUAAAUUCUUCUGCAAUAAGAUUUUUUUGUUUCAUUGUUGCCCUCCUGUGGGAUAUUUGCGCAAUUGCAUCCAAUUAGCUAUACUGGUAGGCGGAAUGACUUCUUUGCCUUCAAAAACUUUGGCUGUAGUCAAUUUUCCGCCCUUUAUAGCAACUGGUGAAUAUUUCACAUUAUCGUUUGGUUGUAUUACAAAAUGAAAACAAAAAUAAGAGCAACUAUAUUUUAACAGGGUGUCAUAGCCAUAUGGUUAUGAAAUAGACAACUUUAGCCUAUUCUGACAAUUAAUGAAUAAAAUGCUUCAAACAUUUUCUUUGGCUGUGCCUUACUAGUGGAAAAACAUC
Long non-coding RNA from Corythoichthys intestinalis (scribbled pipefish), 4359 nucleotides. RefSeq lists it as uncharacterized. The transcript has 8 exons. The record is from RefSeq and is a predicted model, not a curated record. Lineage: Eukaryota; Metazoa; Chordata; Actinopteri; Syngnathiformes; Syngnathidae.